GGGGAAGCCAUAGUUAGGGUUUUCAAGCUUCCAAGCUCCAUAAUCAAGAAGAACGAAACUCGAGGUUAGACAAAGGGAAGAAUAAAGUUGAAGACUAAGUUGUUGAAUUGGACUAUAUUUGAUACCGAGUAUUGCAAAGCUACUUCAAGGAUCCUAAAGAAGUCGGAGAUCGUCCACACUAUCAACCACAACUGCUCGGUAUUUUAUAUCGAAUCACGUUUGAGUUAUGGCAUGUAUAGGGAUUUAGUUAUUUUGUAUGUUUGUG
Long non-coding RNA from Gossypium raimondii (Peruvian cotton), 265 nucleotides. RefSeq lists it as uncharacterized. The transcript has 3 exons. Lineage: Eukaryota; Viridiplantae; Streptophyta; Magnoliopsida; Malvales; Malvaceae. The record is from RefSeq and is a predicted model, not a curated record.